Molecule: ribosomal RNA, 917 nt
Filed under: uncultured archaeon
Lineage: Archaea
Description: bacterial SSU rRNA
Rfam family: Archaeal small subunit ribosomal RNA
Source: RNAcentral
UUCCGGUUGAUCCUGCCGGACCUGACUGCUAUCGGAUUGAUACUAAGCCAUGCGAGUUAUUGUUUAGCAAUACAAGGCAGACGGCUCAGUAACGCGUAGUCAACCUACCCUAGGGACGGGAAUAACCUCGGGAAACUGAGUAUAAUGCCCGAUAGAACACUAUACCUGGAAUGGUUUGUGUUUCAAAUGAUUUAUUGCCGUAGGAUGGGACUGCGGCCUAUCAGUUUGUUGGUGAGGUAAUGGCCCACCAAGACUAUUACAGGUACGGGCUCUGAGAGGAGUGGCCCGGAGAUGGGUACUGAGACACGGACCCCAGGCCCUAUGGGGCGCAGCAGGCGAGAAAACUUUGCAAUGUGCGAAAGCACGACAAGGUUAAUCCGAGUGGUUUCUGCUAAAGGAACCUUUUGACAGUCCUAGAAACACUGUUGAAUAAGGGGUGGGCAAGUUCUGGUGUCAGCCGCCGCGGUAAAACCAGCACCUCAAGUGGUCAGGAUGAUUAUUGGGCCUAAAGCAUCCGUAGCCGGCUCAGUAAGUUUUCGGUUAAAUCUGUACGCUCAACGUACAGGCUGCCGGGAAUACUGCAGAGCUAGGGAGUGGGAGAGGUAGACGGUACUCGGGAGGAAGUGGUAAAAUGCUUUGAUCUUUCGAUGACCACCUGUGGCGAAGGCGGUCUACCAGAACACGUCCGACGGUGAGGGAUGAAAGCUGGGGGAGCAAACCGGAUUAGAUACCCGGGUAGUCCCAGCUGUAGACUAUGCAAACUCAGUGAUGCAUUGGCUUGUGGCUAAUGCAGUGUUGCAGGGAAGCCGUUAAGUUUGCCGCCUGGGAAGUACGUACGCAAGUAUGAAACUUAAAGGAAUUGGCGGGGAGCACCACAAGGGGUGAAGCCUGCGGUUCAAUUGGAGUCAACGCCGGGA